Molecule: long non-coding RNA, 780 nt
Filed under: Rattus norvegicus (Norway rat)
Lineage: Eukaryota; Metazoa; Chordata; Mammalia; Rodentia; Muridae
Description: long non-coding RNA NONRATT027843
Source: RNAcentral
GUUAAUUGGGUCUAGAAAGUUUGGCUCGUCUGUAGUAGGGGAGAAGAUGAUAGCGAAUUUCUUAAAGGCAGCUUUGUCUAGGAAUUGAAGGAAUAAGAGGCAGAAGACGCCAAAAGGAUAUUUCCUGAGAGAUUUUUUUCAACAAGGAGGAGGAAAUGGACCAUGAACGCAAUCGAGGGAUUGGGAGAACUUACGUACUGGUUUAGUAAUUUGGAGACAAAUAUAUAUUAAUAGUUAACAGGUGGUUGAAAUUUCUGGGGAGCAACAAAGGAUAAUAGGGAAAUUGGGAGAGAGGAAUGAAUGUUAGGUUAAUUUUUUUAUUUCGGGUGUAUUUAGUUGAGGGGAAUAAUGGUAGGCAUUUAGUUAAUUAAAAGCCAGCUGAUUAAAACCCUGAGGAAUAGGUACUAAGCUCAAGGUAGAAGAGGCUGAAAAACUAGAGGAACUCAGUUGCAGAGAGGCAUUAACAGUAUUGAAAACCUGGGAAUAAAUGUAUCAGGAAGAAUAGGAGACCUAAGGUUUACUCCCCUUCUCCGUUUGUUAUAUAACCAAGAAAAAGAACCAGAAAGGGAAUUUUUGUCACUGAAGGACAGGAGCCAGUCACCACUUGGCAGGAGGGGUUUCUAGUAGAUACAGAAAAUUCAUUUGCAAAUUGCCCGACAAAGGUAAAAAGAUCUCAGACACCAUUGCCAAACUGAAAGCUGCCAUUUCAGAACGUGAAGAGGUCAGAGGGAGAACUGAACUAUUUCAUCCUGUUAGUGUAGACUGUAAGCUAAGGCAUAA